UUACGGCCACAUCACGUUGAAACAUCCAUUCCCGUACGAACACCGAAGUUAAGCAACAUCGUGCCUGGUCAGUACCUAGAUAGGCGACCGCUUGGGAUUACCAGGUUC
Molecule: non-coding RNA, 108 nt
Organism: Acanthosepion pharaonis
Lineage: Eukaryota; Metazoa; Mollusca; Cephalopoda; Sepiida; Sepiidae
Source: the annotation of a GenBank genome assembly